This 253-nucleotide ribosomal RNA is filed under the name uncultured bacterium. Its description in RNAcentral is "partial 16S ribosomal RNA". It matches the Rfam family "Bacterial small subunit ribosomal RNA", at positions 524 to 776 of the family's 1533-position model. The record is from RNAcentral.
UACAGAGGGUGCGAGCGUUGUCCGGAAUCACUGGGCGUAAAGCGCGCGCAGGCGGUCCUUUAAGUCUGAUGUGAAAGCCCACGGCUCAACCGUGGAGGGUCAUUGGAAACUGGGGGACUUGAGUGCAGAAGAGGAAAGCGGAAUUCCACGUGUAGCGGUGAAAUGCGUAGAGAUGUGGAGGAACACCAGUGGCGAAGGCGGCUUUCUGGUCUGUAACUGACGCUGAGGCGCGAAAGCGUGGGGAGCAAACAGG